CCUACGGGAGGCAGCAGUGAGGAAUAUUGGUCAAUGGGCGCGAGCCUGAACCAGCCAAGUAGCGUGAAGGAUGACUGCCCUACGGGUUGUACACCUCUUUUGUCGGGGAGCAACGGGCGCCACGUGUGGCGUCACUGAGAGUACCCGGAGAAAAAGCAUCGGCUAACUCCGUGCCAGCAGCCGCGGUAAUACGGAGGAUGCGGUCGUUAUCCGGAUUUAUUGGGUUUAAAGGGUUCGUAGGCGGAUCGUUAAGUCAGUGGUCAAAUUGAGGGGCUCAACCCCUUCCCGCCAUUGAAACUGGCGUUCUUGAGUGGAAGAGAGGUAUGCGGAAUGCGUGGUGUAGCGGUGAAAUGCAUAGAUAUCACGCAGAACCCCGAUUGCGAAGGCAGCAUGCCGGCUUCCGACUGACGCUGAAGCACGAAAGCGUGGGGAUCGAACAGGAUUAGAUACCCCUGUAGUC
Molecule: ribosomal RNA, 460 nt
Filed under: uncultured bacterium
Lineage: Bacteria
Description: partial 16S ribosomal RNA
Rfam family: Bacterial small subunit ribosomal RNA
Source: RNAcentral